Molecule: non-coding RNA, 3402 nt
Organism: Heterocephalus glaber (naked mole-rat)
Lineage: Eukaryota; Metazoa; Chordata; Mammalia; Rodentia; Bathyergidae
Source: RefSeq, a predicted model, not a curated record
CAGGGAAAGGGAGAGAAGAUAGUGUAAGACAUCUCUGGCAGCUAUUACUCAGCUUCAGCAACAAUAAGUUCCAUGAGGUGAAUGCAUGUAUGAGCAGUCAGAGUCUUGAAAGAAAGAGAUGAUAUUUUGAAGGUACGGGCUGUGUCUGGGGACUUAAUAAGAGAUAGUAAAGGGCCCUGAGCUCCAAACAAUGAAGACUGCCACCAACCCUGAGCUCAAAGGCAUGAGAGGAGGCAGCCGUUAUUGCAACCCUGAGAGGCUGUCUGUCUGGACGGAUGACCUUCAGUAAAAAGACCUCUUCAACUCUGACCACCUGGCAAGGAGAGAUUCUAAGACGUGGAUGAAACACAGUCAGAACCCGAGAAUGCCAUGGCGCUGGCUGAGUAAUACAUUGCCCUGAAACCCAUAAGCCAGGAGGCGAAAGAAGUUUCAAGGAAGUUAAGCCAGAAGUGUUGGAAAGCAUGCAGUUAUCGGCAUACAUUGAUGGGGAUUUUCAUUAACAAUUUUUAUUUCUGUGAAUUGCAGAGCCAUCACCCCCUUUCUUAUGGAGUUCCGCUGACAGCUGCUACUUCACACCUUCCUUCCAGCUGGGAGGGUGGGCUGAUGGCUGCAUGCAUAUGCGCCUAACACAGAGUAGCUCCUUAGCCAGCAACCUGGGCAUCAGCUUCCUCCUGGAGCCCACAUGUGUCACCUUCAGGUCUCCUGGGACUCCCGUCAUUUCUGUGAAUUCAUCAGGAGGCUCUGGUAGAAGGCAGGAGGCCAAGCAGGCUAACCGGUGACUGGGAACAAAGGCCGGUUCAGGAGGAGUCACUCACCAGCGUGCUAAAGAACGCUUCCUUUCUCCUCCAUAACGUGUUUAAACCCUAAAGAUUCAGUGAAUAGCUUUCGGUGCUCAGAAAAUAAAUGUGAAGGGAUAACAGAAAGGCAAGAUUUUUUUUAAAAUUGAUUUUAACAGACAUUUAUAAAAUAAUUGUAUGUAAAGGCUUGCCCAUGUUAUAGGGUAAACUCGUAAUUUCAGUAGAAAUAAUAAUUCUCAAGUAUAGUACUAUAACUAGUAACCCUCAAAUUCCUCAGCUCCCAUGGGAAGAUAUUACAAUCUGACUAAUCUCAUCACUAAACAUUAGAUGCUAGUCUGGACAAAAUUAGACUCAAUUAUUGUUAUGGUGUGACAGCUAUAGUCUAACACAUAUUGAAAAUAUUCUGUGUGGCAUAUUAACUGGUAUAAUCCAAUGAGCUCAUGAAGAAUUUUUAUAGUUCAUUUCUAGCAAACUGAAACAUUGCUUUUACUUUUCAAUCAUUGAAACAUAAACAUCAAAGUGCUUCUUAAAACAGUUUAUCAUUUUCUUACCACCUUUUGUCAUCUAGCUCCUUGGGAAACAAAUAAGAAGACUGGGAAAUAAUCUGUACUUAACUGCCCCUGAGGUGAUAGUGAAGCUUCCCCCGUCUCCAGGUACCACUGACCCUUUUAAAAUAAUAGCCCAGUCUCCACCAGAAUAGCGAUGAACGCGUGGAGAACAGGCGAUUCCCAUGGUCUCCAUGGUGGUCAUCCUUGGGGCCAGUUCACCCAGGCUCUAUUGGGAAACAUUUUAGAGAAAUUCACUUGUCAGAGUGCAGACACAUUGAACAGUUCUUCUAGAUAUUAAGAGUAUUUCUGAAAAGAGAUUUAUUUAGUAUAUCUAAUACUAUAAAUCAUCAGUAGAACAUAUACUAUAAACUUUGGAUGCAAGAAAAUAAUUUGCAAUGAAGGACGAUUAUAUACUGAAUACCAUGUUCUGAAAAUAUUUAGACAUUAAGCUUGUCGUUGCUCAUAUUAUUUGUAGGUCUAUAGACAUAUGUCACAAUUUAGUCCUUCAUUUUUAACCUCAUAAUAUUUUCCAUAGGUGACUUCCAAAAUGGUAUAUAGCAGAGCUUGCUUUUAGGUGUUUUAGUCAGUCUUGUUAUUCAUAAAUUUGACAGUCUUCAAUUAUUCCUCGGUUUGGUGGUCUGAUAUUAUCAGAGUAAUUAUGAAAUAUUUUUAGUAAUAUUUUGUCAACAAAGUGUUUGAUAUUUAAAGCAAUAUGCCUGUAUUAUCUGCAGCACUGAGAACUGAACUCAAGGCCUUCACACCGACCUACAUCUCCAGCCCUUUUGUUAUUUUUUAUUCUGAGCCAGAGUCUCACUGUCGCCCUUGUAAUCCUCCUGCCUCAGCCUCCUAGCUAUGUACGAUGAUGCCAAAUUCUCUAUUAGCUCUUUUAAAGCACAUAAAAUACUAAAAAUAAUUGUAAAAUUAACUCAACUCAAAUGAAUAUCCAGUCCAUCCAAUGCUAUCUUUAUACAUACCAUUUAUUCAGGGCUUGCUAUUUAACAUGUAAGUCUUCAGCAUCAAGCAUUUAUUAUUGCAUUUAAUCCUCAAUACAAUGUAAGGAAAAAGUUAUUAUUUGGUUAAUUUUCAUAAAUAAGGAAACUGUGGCAAAAAUAAGAUGUAUAACUUAUUCAAGUAGAGCUGGUAACUAGAAUUGGUAUAAAAACCUCAGUUUUAUGUUUUUGGCCCUUGCAUUUUAUUGUAUUGCCUUUCACAAGUUAAUAUUGAUCUAAGAGACUUUUUUAUCAGUACAUGUUUGCAGUGCAUAUGCUAAUAAAAGAGGUAUGGCACUGAUUCUUAAAAAUGUAGGGGUAUAAAAUUCAUUGCUAGGAAAAAGAUUGUUCUGUAAACAAAUGUUUGUAGUUUCAUGACCCUGCCCUCUGUCACUAACCUUAGACCUCAGCAUCUGUGGAGUAUACAUUUUGUCUCCACAAACAAAGCUACAAAAUAUGCAUUUUCCCCGUUUGCAUGUGGGAAUGCUGUUUAAGAAGGUAUAGACUGGAAAUGACUCAACAGUUCCAUAGAAAGUGGGCAAUUUUAUAUUUUUUCCUCUUUCAUGUUAGUGAGAUUUUUAUUGUAAAGCAAGAGAACAUAAUACAUUUAAUUAAAAUUAUAAGCUACUGAUAUCAAGAAUAUUUGGCACAAAAUUAUGUGUUAGAAUAGAUUUUUUGGGAAAUGAAAAUUAUGACCUGUUUUGGAAAAAUUCACUGCAGUUUCGCAUUUUGAUUAAACUAAAAAAUAAUUCCUUUGAUGAAAAUUACUUUGAUAAAGCUGACUUAAGAUGUAAAUUCGAAGAACUAAGAAUUGUGCAAAUGGUGAAUUUUCCAGGAGCAGGUUUAUUUUGACCUAGACGAUACGUAAUGUGUCAUCUUAAACCUUGAGGCACAAUUUUGGCACCACAAAGAUCUCUCAGUUGGUACCAGACAGGAAAUAUUUGCAGGGAGCUUUUGUGCAACAGAGUUAGGCUAGGGUAGAGUGGCACUGGCCUGAGGUCUCCUUGGUCCACCCCUGAUUUUUUGUUACCAGAAAGAAUUAAAGCAGAAGUGAAACUUUCUUUGGAA